GAGCGAACAGGAUUAGAUACCCUGGUAGUCCACGCCGUAAACGGUGGAUGCUGGAUGUGGGGCCCGUUCCACGGGUUCCGUGUCGGAGCUAACGCGUUAAGCAUCCCGCCUGGGGAGUACGGCCGCAAGGCUAAAACUCAAAGAAAUUGACGGGGGCCCGCACAAGCGGCGGAGCAUGCGGAUUAAUUCGAUGCAACGCGAAGAACCUUACCUGGGCUUGACAUGUUCCCGACAGCCGUAGAGAUAUGGCCUCCCUUCGGGGCGGGUUCACAGGUGGUGCAUGGUCGUCGUCAGCUCGUGUCGUGAGAUGUUGGGUUAAGUCCCGCAACGAGCGCAACCCUCGCCCUGUGUUGCCAGCACGUCAUGGUGGGAACUCACGGGGGACCGCCGGGGUCAACUCGGAGGAAGGUGGGGAUGACGUCAGAUCAUCAUGCCCCUUACGUCCAGGGCUUCACGCAUGCUACAAUGGCCGGUACAACGGGAUGCGACACGGCGACGUGGAGCGGAUCCCUGAAAACCGGUCUCAGUUCGGAUUGGAGUCUGCAACCCGACUCCAUGAAGGCGGAGUCGCUAGUAAUCGCGGAUCAGCAACGCCGCGGUGAAUGCGUUCCCGGGCCUUGUACACACCGCCCGUCAAGUCAUGAAAGUGGGUAGCACCCGAAGCCGGUGGCCUAACCCUUUGUGGAUGGAGCCGUCUAAGGUGAGACUCGUGAUUGGGACUAAGUCGUAACAAGGUAGCCGUACCGGAAGGUGCGGCUG
This 759-nucleotide ribosomal RNA is filed under the name human gut metagenome. Its description in RNAcentral is "bacterial SSU rRNA". It matches the Rfam family "Bacterial small subunit ribosomal RNA", at positions 766 to 1520 of the family's 1533-position model. The record is from RNAcentral.